Salvelinus sp. IW2-2015 is the source of this 2181-nucleotide non-coding RNA. Lineage: Eukaryota; Metazoa; Chordata; Actinopteri; Salmoniformes; Salmonidae. The record is from RefSeq and is a predicted model, not a curated record.
GUGCGUGCGCGUGUGAUAUCCUAUAGGUAGUAACUUCAGAAAAACAACAGACUAGGUCAAGUUUUGUCCACCAUUUUAUGUUUUGAAAGAACUGAAGGCUUAAGUACAUCAAAAGGGGGCAACUGUACAAGAAUGGAAGGACAAACAAACAAACUAAAGACUGUGUAGUUAAAGGGAUGUUGAAUCCCAACAGCAGCUCUCCAUGCAUACAAGGAUAAAGAUAAGGUAAGAGCACCAUCCUCAUCCAUAAGUAAAGGUAGUCACAGUCAAAAGGAAGGCAGCUUGAUUCUCCAUAUCAGAAACACUCCUAGUCCUACCAGCUUCUAGUAGGCACCAAACAGGAAAACAACAGUCCAAAACGAGGAGGUACUACGUGAAUUUGUCCAAUAAGAAAAGCUCAUUUCCGUUUUCCAUUACAAAACAUUUUGCUACUGUGUGUCCAAAUGAACACGACCCAGGUAAAGUUGGUUUAUUUGCCAACUACACAAAUCCCUGAUUAGUUUCUCUGUAUCAUCACCAAUCAAUAUUCAGACAGGUCCCUACAAGGAACAAUUUUGUGGGGACAAUUUCAAUCAACCAUGUUUUGUGCGGACAAUUCCAAAUAAGUAUUUAGAAGUGGUCUUUAAGAUUUUUUUUAGAUUAGGGGUGCCAUUGUUGGAUGUACCCAUAAAGCAUCUCAGUUCUAAGCACAUUUCUUAUAUGUUAUAAUCCUACAUUGUGGGGACUUUGAGAAUCAGAAUCAGAGUGCUGGGUUUCAACAGUAAGAACAUAGAAAGACCUUCAGGACUGAGGUAAGUACGGUGUGUGUGUGUGUGUGUGUGUGUGUGUGUGUGUGUGUGGUGUGUGUGUGUUGUGUGUGUGUGUGUGUGUGUGUGUGUGUGUGUGUGUGUGUGUGUGUGCGCUUGUGAGUGUGCAUGACUCCCCUCUUUGAGGUGUAGAAGUGCAUUUGGUACAACAUACUGUGGAAGUGUAUCUGGUACACUAUACUGAUAUAAACUGAUAUAAACUCUUAUGUAGUGACGAAUGAGCCAAUAUUCAAAUAGAAAGAUAAUAUCCCCAAUAUGAAAACUUCAUCCAUGUGUUACAGCUAUCAAUUCAUAAUCCAAACAGUGUGAUGCUGGAAAAUAGUUAGAUAUGUUGUAUUCAAAUGGUGACUGUAAAUAGUAUCAUUGCAAUUCCAUCAAACAACGAGUCAGAUAUCAAUAUACAUUAUAUCUCAUUUCCGCAUACGACAGUUUAUUGUUACAAAAUAUCGAAGUUGUAACCAACUAUUACUGGUGUGUACUGCAAGCAAUGACUGAGUCUAAAAGAUAAUGACCAUGAUAUCUUUAUAUUAACUUUAUCAAUGUAAUUCUAAUUCUCAUCAAUGCUAUUUCUAUUUCAUCGAUCAGUCCUCACUGUGUGCAGAGUGAAUUGUAAAGUAGAAUUGCUUUCAUUGCCAUGUUGUAAGCAACAGCGGUUUGUCAGUGGGUCACCCAUCCUUAGUGUGAUAAAAUAUAUAAGGCACGCUAGAGUCUUCCGGAUAACCUUGCUACAGUACUUUGUAUCUGCAUUUUACACUCUCCAAUGUUUUUUCCAAAUACAUUUUCAGUUUCACAGUCCUUUUCCAUUGUCUUUUUUUUAUUUUUAUUUUUUAUUUUUUAUCUCUACCUAGAAACAGAGUGGUCGGGGUGGUGGAGUGACAAUCUACAUCUCGGGUGAGGGUAGUGUCAGUCAGCCAACGUGGAAAGGAAACAAAGAUGAAAACAGAAAAAGUAUCUUCAGCUCUUGAUGAAAUCAAGCCGACCGCUCUGUAAGGCUUUAGUUGCUACUCAUACAAAGACCAGAAAUAGACGGGGCAGUAAUCUAAGGUCCACGGGGAAUAUCAUGUAUUUAAGUGUCUCUCUCUUCAGUCUCUUCGUCUUUGAGUGACCUGGUGUGGUGUUGGAUGGGUUUAGGGAGGGGUGGGGUGGUGUGGGAUCGGUGACCUCAGAAGAGGUUGGUAAGUGUGGUCUGGGAUGGGGUAGGUAAUAUCAGAAGAGGCUGGUAAGUGUGGUCUGGGAUGGGGUAGGUAAUAUCAGAAGAAGCUGGUAAGUGUGGUCUGGGAUGGGGUAGGUAAUAUCAGAAGAGGCUGGUAAGUUUGGUCUGGGAUGGGGUAGGUAAUAUCAGAAGAGGCUGGUAAGGGUGAUCUGCGAUGGGAUG